This 74-nucleotide transfer RNA is filed under the name Lepisosteus oculatus (spotted gar). It matches the Rfam family "tRNA". From Rfam's summary of the family: Transfer RNA (tRNA) molecules are approximately 80 nucleotides in length. Lineage: Eukaryota; Metazoa; Chordata; Actinopteri; Semionotiformes; Lepisosteidae. The record is from Rfam by way of RNAcentral.
GCGAUGGUAGCUCAGAUGGCAAGGGCAUCUAGUUUCUGACUAGAAUAUCCCGGGUUCAAUCCCAGGUAGGGGCA